CCCUUAGAUGUUCUGGGCCGCACGCGUGCUACACUGAGUGGAUCAGCGGGUCAGGUUGCGCGAAAGUGUUUCCUAAUCUUGAAAUCCGCUCGUGAUGGGGAUUGACGGUUGCAAUUUUCCGUCAUGAACGAGGAAUACCUUGUAAGCGCGGGUCAUCAUCCCGCGCUGAAUACGUCCCUGCCCUUUGUACACACCGCCCGUCACUCCUACCGAUUGAGUGGUCCGGUGAGGCUUUGGGAUCUGAGCAAAGAGAGCGUUUCGCUCGUUUUGCCCGGAAAACUCAGUCGAACCUUAUCAUUUAGAGGAAGGAGAAGUCGUAACA
RNAcentral lists this ribosomal RNA (322 nucleotides) under uncultured eukaryote. Its description in RNAcentral is "partial 18S ribosomal RNA". It matches the Rfam family "Eukaryotic small subunit ribosomal RNA", at positions 1470 to 1796 of the family's 1831-position model. The record is from RNAcentral.